UGGGGAAUAUUGGACAAUGGGCGAAAGCCUGAUCCAGCCAUGCCGCGUGUGUGAAGAAGGUCUUCGGAUUGUAAAGCACUUUAAGUUGGGAGGAAGGGCCAUUACCUAAUACGUGAUGGUUUUGACGUUACCGACAGAAUAAGCACCGGCUAACUCUGUGCCAGCAGCCGCGGUAAUACAGAGGGUGCAAGCGUUAAUCGGAAUUACUGGGCGUAAAGCGCGCGUAGGUGGUUUGUUAAGUUGGAUGUGAAAUCCCCGGGCUCAACCUGGGAACUGCAUUCAAAACUGACUGACUAGAGUAUGGUAGAGGGUGGUGGAAUUUCCUGUGUAGCGGUGAAAUGCGUAGAUAUAGGAAGGAACACCAGUGGCGAAGGCGACCACCUGGACUGAUACUGACACUGAGGUGCGAAAGCGUGGGGAGCAAACAGGAUUAGAUACCCCCGUAGUCCCUGAGCGGGCUGGCAAGGCGCAU
This 472-nucleotide ribosomal RNA is filed under the name uncultured bacterium. RNAcentral's name for it is "bacterial SSU rRNA". It matches the Rfam family "Bacterial small subunit ribosomal RNA", at positions 355 to 825 of the family's 1533-position model. The record is from RNAcentral.